This 818-nucleotide ribosomal RNA is filed under the name uncultured eukaryote. RNAcentral describes it as "SSU rRNA". It matches the Rfam family "Eukaryotic small subunit ribosomal RNA", at positions 629 to 1426 of the family's 1831-position model. The record is from RNAcentral.
CGGUGUUUAACUGGCGUGAUGUGGGACGUCCUACCGGUGGGCUUAGCCUCGCGAGGGGCGGCCCAACUAAUAUCCCGUCGCGGUGCUCUUUACUGAGUGUCGAGUCGGGCCGGUACGUUUACUUUGAACAAAUUAGAGUGCUUAAAGCAGGCUAUCCUCGCCUGAAUACUGCGUGCAUGGAAUAAUGGAAUAGGACCUCGGUUCUAUUUUGUUGGUUUUCGGAACCCCGAGGUAAUGAUUAAUAGGGACAGAUGGGGGCAUUCGUAUUGCGACGUUAGAGGUGAAAUUCUUGGAUCGUCGCAAGACGGACAGAAGCGAAAGCAUUUGCCAAAAAUGUUUUCAUUAAUCAAGAACGAAAGUUAGAGGUUCGAAGGCGAUCAGAUACCGCCCUAGUUCUAACCAUAAACGAUGCCAGCUAGCGAUCCGCCGAAGUUCCUCCGAUGACUCGGCGGGCAGCUUCCGGGAAACCAAAGCUUUUGGGUUCCGGGGGAAGUAUGGUUGCAAAGCUGAAACUUAAAGGAAUUGACGGAAGGGCACCACCAGGAGUGGAGCCUGCGGCUUAAUUUGACUCAACACGGGAAACCUCACCAGGCCCAGACACCGGAAGGAUUGACAGAUUGAUAGCUCUUUCUUGAUUCGGUGGGUGGUGGUGCAUGGCCGUUUUUAGUUGGUGGAGCGAUUUGUCUGGUUAAUUCCGAUAACGAACGAGACUCUAGCCUGCUAAAUAGGCGUACCUUAUGGUAUCGCGAAGGCCCCCGGCUUCGGCCGGUGGGUUUUUACUACCAACGUACAAACAAAUCUUCUAGAGGGACAGGCGG